CUGAGCCCCGCCCCCCCAGGCACCCCAGAGUGAUGUAGAAUUGUUGAAGAACGAUUGUUGAAGAAUUGUAGAAUGUAUAUUGUACACAUCAUUCUGAAGUUUUAAAUUCUCUUGAUGCAGUGCAAAUAUGGUAGAUGUGAAAAUUUCAAAGAGCGGAGUGGUGGAGUCAUGGAGUGUUCAUCAGGACUCUUGGCUGUGGGCAGUAGGUCACGUGCUAGCUGGUUUUAGCAGAAGGGAUCUGUUACAGGGCACUAGGUAGCUUAUUGAAUCUUAGGGAUUAUUUUAUUUGUUGACAGAUAGCAUUCAGAGCCAGAGGUUGUGAUCGCCUGUGGAUAAAGUAGGGCAAGAAACAGCAUUGGUGAGCGUGCCAGGGGAUUUGGAGAGGUAUGGAAGGACAAUGGGCAGAGGCAUCGAGCAGAGGAUGGGGGUGUGGGUGGUGUCCCAGCAGCCGAGAAAGAGAGGGGUUUGAGAAGAAAGGGGAGGUCCGCUGGGCCAGCAACUGAGAAGCCAAGUAAACGGAGACCUGAAGCCGCAGGACGGUCGGGCGGGGCUCCAGGGGGAGCACUCGGGGGCAGCAGCAGCCGUAGCUGACCGAGUGGUGGAAAGGUGUGUGACGGCACCCCCACACCUGCUCCCACGCCAUCUGGCCUCAGCGAUAACCCUGUGAGGUUGGCGGGCCAAGCGGGCAGGCAUUAGUUUUCACGUUUCAAAGGGGAGAAACCUGAGGCUCAGAAAUGUGAAAAGCCUUGAUCUGUGACCGAGCCAGGUCUUGUGGCUCUAAAUCCAGGGCUCUUGCAGGGCUACCGUGCUGCCUUCCCACCACAUCCCACCAUGGGCCGGGUGUGGCUUGGCUUUAAAAACCCACCGGGCAGUAAAUGGGUAAAACUCCUUAACUCUAAUUCGCUAGGCAGCAGUAAGUGGUGAUGCCUGAUAGCAUAGAUGAAAGAAUACUGAUGGUCUAAGCAUUCUUGUAAGAGUUUCCCUAAGCUCUUGAGUUUCUAGACAAACAUUUGUAUCCCUACUCUGAGCCCCAAUUACUGUAUUGAAUGCUGUAUAUAGAUUAUCUUACGCCUCGUAAACUUCAUGGAAGAGGUACUGAUAUUAGGUCAUUAUAAUGACAAGGAAAACAGGCUUGAUCAAUAAAAUAACUUUCCCUAAGUUACACUCUCAGAAAGUGGUAACGCUUGGAUGUAACCACGGGGGGCAUGGGGAUCCAGCACCUGACCUUCUUCUAGUCUACACUGUACUCGAUCCUAGCCCAAUAGAGCUAUCACUUGCUGUGUAACCCACAACUGAGUUAGAGACUUAGAUCUUCAGAUUCUCCAAACUGAAUUAUUUUGAUGCUUAAUCAUUCGUACCAGAAAGAAGAAAGACUAUGGUAAAAACUAGGUGAGUUAAGGAUAAUUGGCAAGCUUCAGUAAUUAAAAGUUUCAGAUAUUAGGCAGAGCUCCAAAUGGUGGACAAAAGCCCAUCAAAAUGCAUUUGCAGAUUCUUCUGCUUCUAGAGUUACCCCUUCCUCCAUUGCACCAAAAUAUUAUAGGACAUUUGAGGAUUUGUGGAAGGAUUCUGCCACUAAUUUCAAAAAGGUUGGAGUGCCUGUUGUAUGCAAGGCACCGUGCCAGUUGGGGGCUGGAGUAGAGUGGUGAGCAAAGUUGACCAGAUUUCUGCCCUCAGGAAUCUUUCAGUUCAGAUAAUAUUUUAUUAGAGAUAGAGUUGGUUCAAUGGUUACGGGGGUGAGGCUCGGAGGGACCUUGGUCUAUGGGUGUGGAAAGUCCUCUGGAGCCUCGUGGACUUUGGGGUCUUACAAGUCUUUCCUUGAGGGGCUGCUUGGCCUGCAUCUCAGAUUCUUGCAGCCCCAUGUUGCCCCUGACAGGAAUGUUCCACUCCAUCCCAUGUCUCCACAUCCUUUAGCCCUGCCAUUUAAUGAACUAACGUGAGCUUGCCCCGCCUGGCAGGGGAUUGGUUUUGGAACCAUGGUCCUGUGUACGAUAAUUAACAUUUGUACAUUGCCAUACAGUUUAUAGUGAGCCUUCUGUUUUCACAUUCAGGAUCUCAGUGGAUCCUUAGAACCACUCUGAUAGGGAGGGGAGAGCAGAUAUUAUGUUAUUAUGCCCAUUUUCAGAUUAGGGAACUAGAACAAAAACCAGGAUUAUACCCAUUUUACAAAUUAGGAUGUAGGGAAAAAAAAAAAAACAAAACAAGUUUCAUGCUUGGUAACUGGAGUGACCAAAAAUCUGUUCCAGUAACACUCGCUUAAUUCUUUAUGAAGAUUUUGAAGUAUAUAAUUUUUCAGGAAAGUAUGUUAAGGUAAUAAUUUUUUUGGCGACAAUGAAAAAAUGUGCUCCCAUAGAUGAUUUAUCAUACAUAGGACGUGCACAAGCCCAUGGAAAGAGAACUUGGUCUGUUUUUCUGACUGUAGGUGUUAUUUUCAUUCUUCACCCCCAUUCGCUCCGUAAGGUUCAGCAAGUUGCCUUUCAUCGCAUUGUCCCGUUGAAAAGUCUUCUGUUAAGUUACCAGGGACUCCUUAGUUGCUAUAUCCAAAGGGGAUUCAUUAACUUAUCUUGGAACAGCAUUUGACCCUGAUGGCCUCUCUGUCUGUCCCUUGCAAUAUUCUCUAGUUCUGCCUGCCCCUUGGAUUUUGUUCUUAAUCAGGACCUAUUGGUUCUCUUUGCUUCAACUGGCCACACAAUCUGACCAGGUCAUAUCUACCAGCUCCUCCCCCUUUCUUGAGCUCCAAAACCACCUGUCCAACUGCCUACUGGACAUUUCCACAUGGGUGAACUAUUAGCAUCAUAAUGCAUCCUGCAAACUGAGCCCAUGAUUUUCCCCUGCUGAGCCUGCUCCCUUUCUCAUAUUCUCGUAUCUUCCUUAAAUAUUCAUUUAGUUGCAAAAACCAGACAUGGAGGGUAACAUUUGUGACACUUUCCUUCCUUUCAAUUCUGGCAUCAAAUCGGUGGGUCCUAACAACCUCUUAAAUCUCUCUCCUAUCCCUGACUCUUCUCCAUCCCUCCUCUGGGGAGCCAAGCCACACGGGCAAUGCCUCUGUUUCCUGAUUAGCUCCCAUGUUCCUAGUCUUAAUGUCUUCUGGUCUUUCUUGUGUCCCUAGACAGACUUUUCUGAGUUUGGCUUAUGCUUGGCUUGCAAGGUUCCUUGUUUCCUGGCACAGUCCUGCUUGUUUAAUCUCACUCCCCUCCUCUUCCUUCACACUUUGUGUUCUGGUUAAAUCCAAAUCUGCAGUUCUCUAAAUUUCCUGUGCUUCCACAAAUUUAUGGCUGGUAUCUGCUCUUUUCUCUGUCUGGGGGAAGCUAGGGGAGGUCUCAGCCAGGGGAGCCUGCGUGGAGACUUGCAGGCUGUGCAGGAGGGUGCCUGAUUGGCCAAGUGGGAUCCUCGACUCCCAAUCUCAGGGAGUUUGUAUUUCAAUGGAGACAGACAUACACACAGGCGAGGUAUCUUGUGAUGCCUGCUGGAUGAGCACUUUGUACAAACUGCAGGAAGGCAGUGAAGGAGGUCUGUGAGUAUGACGACAUCUUUUCAACUCAACUUAGAAGAGCAAAAUGACGCCAGCUCAUUUGCAUUUACAGAAUUAACUAAACAACUCCUCCAAUGCACAGGGUGGAAUGUGGUACCUUGCGUGUAGCAAAAAAAUCUAAGUGGGACAAAGAAAUGGAUUAGGACACUGUGGAACAAACCUGAACACAAGGGAGAGAGUCUUUCUGAACUGCACUCUGAGACCCUCUUUAUUUUUCUACAUUAAAACAGACUUCACUUGCCUGCUCCUCUCUUUCCUGAAUGUUGGUGCUCCACAGACCUCCAAAUGGGGACUGUCACCUAUUUCUCUGUUCCGUAUCCUUGAGUACUUUCAUUCACUCCCACGGUUUCAGUUGUUCCCUCCCAGAUCCGUGUCUCUAGCUGGGAUCUGUCCCUGUCAUUGCCAGUGAAACAUCUCUGCUUGGAAAUUUCACAGUGAUCUCUAUUUCACCAUGUCCAAAGUAGACCUCACCACCUUCCCUAUUCUUUCCCCACCCCUCCUGCAGACCUCCAGCUCCUCUGUGCUUUUUUCUGUAAAUCCUGUCCGGUUGUCAAAUUCAGCCCCCCGAGAAUCAUCCUCGAUUCUUUAAUCCAACCUGUAACCAAACCUUUUCAACUCUGCCUCCUCAAGAUGACUAUUCCAGCUGUCUCUGCCUUUCUACCACCGAUGCAGGCUACAUCACCGCAGUCCUGCAUGACAAGGAGAGCAUCUAACGACAUCAACCUUCACUACCCCAGUCUGCCCACGUGUUCUCCGAUGGAUCCACGGUCAGAUAAUCUUUUGACAGUAUCCAGAAGUACAGAAGCUACAACAAACAAAUCUGUACAGUUGGGAGGAACAAUAGAGCAGGGACCCAGCAGAACCAUUCUGACCCCGCCGUGUGCCAACAGAGCCCAUGCAGGACAACAGUUGCACCGCCCUCCUCCUUCCGGCUCACUUCUCACACAGUAAUUCUCUUCCGGUCACUCCAAAACCAGACUACCGAGUAAGUACGUGGAUCAGCUCAAUCAGAGGAAAAGACGCUGUAGUUGGAUUGCAGGGAAAAAAAUUAGAUUUACAGGUUUUGAUGCUUCCAAUAUUUUACCUAUGUUACAAAAUAUAGAAAUCUUGCUGUGAAAAGCCCAUGCUAAGAGAAAUAUCACCAAUAAGAUGGAGCUAUAGUAAUAAAGUCAUAUUAAAUUAUGAUCCAUACACAGCUACUCUUAUCAAGGAGGAAUAUUUGUAAAAACCCAACUUACUCAUUCUUACUUUUAAAAAUAGUCUUGUUUAUAAAACAAAAACGAAAAAAAAGAUCAACAAUUAUUCUGCAGAUUCACUUUUCAUAAAUACAGAAGUGUGACAAAAAUACAAUUUGCCAUUAAUCGAUGAAGUCAGAAUGCUGGCCUGAAAAACAGGGAAAGUGCUCACUUUUUUACAUGGCCCAGAUUCAACCAGUGUUCCCAAAUCAUUUUAUGUAAAAUGACCACAUUCUGCAUAUUCUGGGCUAUUCACACACGAUAAUGGAAAGACUACAGCCAAUGCCAAAACAUACUCUGGGAUUCCACAACAUUGUUAUGGAAAGAAGAUGCGUGGAUGUAUCAGGCCAUCCUACCAUUGCUAUAAACGUAUACCAUACGACAGCAAGCUGCCAGUGUGCUUAACCGCAAAAACUAUCAGAAGCAGGGACACAGGUGGCCGGUGAACUUUCAUUGCAAAGCACUGAUAAGGACAGAGGUAUGUCAAAAUAAUACUGCAUUCAUGGUAAACGUUUUCAGGGAUCACAGCAAGAAGCGGGACAAAGUACACAGGGUCAUAAUCAAUGCACUGCAUUGAGUUCUAUUUGCUGAAAUAAAGUAACAUUCUCGCAGCUAAAAUAAAAAUACGUUUUACAAUAGAAGUCUCAUUUAACAUUUAACAUAGAAUUGUCUUCUUUUUGUAAGUGGAAAACGUAUAACUGUAUCAAGUACCUCUAUGAAUGAAACUCCCUUUUAUUACUGAUAAGACUGAAGCUUAAAGGUCUACGUUGUUGUUGCUUAAUAAGUUAAAGAAAGAUUUAUUAAUCACCCUUCCAGCAAAACAGAUGUACGUAGGAGGCACGGCAAAGACCCAAGACAAGGGCCUUGGUCACUCUCACCCCUGCUCUUCUCACGUGGACGAGGCGAGUGUCUAUGAGACACAGGAGCCGACUCGACAACCCGCUGCGGUCCAGGAAAUUCUGCCACUUGUUUGGAAAACAAAUCAAGCGUUGCUGGCGUUGCCUGCAGCCGGUGGACGUGAAUUACUUAGCGAAUCUGGUACAGACACAUCUUUAAAAUUAGAAAAUCAGUCCUUCUUCCUAAACAGAUGUGGCGACGGAGUAGGGAAUAUUGGUUAGAAGGGGCAGCCGAUUUCUAGCUGGCCCACAGUGCAUGCAGAUUUUAGUCUAGGCUUGUAUGGAAGUCUCCCCCCUCCCCCGUAGCUGCUUCCUACUGGUCUGUAUGCUCAUGAUCAGGGAAGCUGAUGGCAGAUUCCUGGCCUGCUGGCAGGCUUAGUGUUGGAGGAGCAAGGUUACUGUAGGAUGGGGCUGCCAUGAGUGUAGGAAUAGCCAGACCAUUAUCACGGGAUAGGGGAAAGGCUGGAAUGUGGCCAGACAGGAAAGCACUUGGACAUUAUUUCUGGUUCCCACAGGAUGAGGUCUGGAGCAGUAAUUAUUGUUGGAAUUGAAAAUCAUCAUUUCCACAUCCAGAUGAGAACAGCAAAGCCUUUCAGAAUAAAAUUCAAACUCCAGAGUUGGCUCGCUAUCUUCCUAGUAGAAUAAAAUUACAGUCUCUUGGAUUCUUCCUUUAAGGAAUUGAGGUUUUGGGAUGUUCAUAAUGGAACUAAAAGAGAAUAGGUUCUCGAAAGAAGGCAAAAUACGAUUAAACCCUGUUUAGGUUCUGCGCAGAAGGCCAUGCGUUUAUUUUUAUUCUCUUGGAGCUAAUGAGGUCGGCCACUUAGCAUCAUUUUAGGAAGGCCAACUCAGCUUGUAUGACUUUCAUGUUACAAAGCUAAGGAGGUAGGAAAGAGGAACAUUCUUCACUAUCAAAUUGCUCACAUCUUCCCAUUAAGUCAGGCACCAUGCCUGGCCAAACAAGAUGGUUAGCAAACCCUCCAUGAUAAAAGUACUAAAUUAUUGGCAUUAAAGAUUCAAAGGGGACAUAUCAGCAUUUUUCCUGAUAAUGAUACUUUGCCUUCCAAACUACAACAAUUAGAACUAAUUUCUUUCUAAAGAAAUAAUUUCUAGCUAAUUAAAGACCAGGCUGGCCUUCACAGUCUUAUCCAAAAAUUACUCAUACUCUAAUAAAUUACUCAAAACAGAAACCUUCUGAGCUAAAUGUUAUUACAUCUCUGAUCACCAUGCAUCUGAGCAACAAUAUUUAUAUGUUUUAUAAGGUAGAAAAAUAAAAACACCACCCAGUGUUUAUACAGUA
This is a long non-coding RNA of Felis catus (domestic cat), 6957 nucleotides long. RefSeq lists it as uncharacterized. The transcript is spliced from 3 exons. The record is from RefSeq and is a predicted model, not a curated record. NCBI's taxonomy places the organism in Eukaryota, Metazoa, Chordata, Mammalia, Carnivora, Felidae.